UACGAAGGGGGCUAGCGUUGCUCGGAAUCACUGGGCGUAAAGGGUGCGUAGGCGGGUCUUUAAGUCAGGGGUGAAAUCCUGGAGCUCAACUCCAGAACUGCCUUUGAUACUGAAGAUCUUGAGUUCGGGAGAGGUGAGUGGAACUGCGAGUGUAGAGGUGAAAUUCGUAGAUAUUCGCAAGAACACCAGUGGCGAAGGCGGCUCACUGGCCCGAUACUGACGCUGAAGCACGAAAGCGUGGGGAGCAAACAGG
This 253-nucleotide ribosomal RNA is filed under the name uncultured bacterium. RNAcentral's name for it is "partial 16S ribosomal RNA". It matches the Rfam family "Bacterial small subunit ribosomal RNA", at positions 524 to 776 of the family's 1533-position model. The record is from RNAcentral.